GACGAACGCUGGCGGCGUGCCUAAUACAUGCAAGUCGAGCGAAGUUUUUCCGGUGCUUGCACCGGAAAAACUUAGCGGCGACCGGGUGAGUAACACGUAAAGAACCUGCCUCAUAGACUGGGACAACUAUUGGAAACGAUAGCUAAUACCGGAUAAUAGCAUUAACUGCAUGGUUGAUGUUUAAAAGUUGGUUUUGCUAACACUAUGAGAUGGCUUUGCGGUGCAUUAGCUAGUUGGUGGGGUAAAGGCCUACCAAGGCGACGAUGCAUAGCCGACCUGAGAGGGUGAUCGGCCACACUGGGACUGAGACACGGCCCAGACUCCUACGGGAGGCAGCAGUAGGGAAUCUUCCGCAAUGGGCGAAAGCCUGACGGAGCAACGCCGCGUGAGUGAAGAAGGAUUUCGGUUCGUAAAGCUCUGUUGUUAGGGAAGAAUGAUUGUGUAGUAACUAUACACAGUAGAGACGGUACCUAACCAGAAAGCCACGGCUAACUACGUG
Molecule: ribosomal RNA, 499 nt
Filed under: uncultured bacterium
Lineage: Bacteria
Description: partial 16S ribosomal RNA
Rfam family: Bacterial small subunit ribosomal RNA
Source: RNAcentral